This 86-nucleotide transfer RNA is filed under the name archaeon. Its description in RNAcentral is "tRNA-Leu". It matches the Rfam family "tRNA". From Rfam's summary of the family: Transfer RNA (tRNA) molecules are approximately 80 nucleotides in length. Their secondary structure includes four short double-helical elements and three loops (D, anti-codon, and T loops). The record is from RNAcentral.
GCAGGGGUGGCGGAGCUUGGUCAAACGUGCCGGGCUUAGGACCCGGUGGCUUAGUGCCUGCAAGGGUUCGAAUCCCUUCCCCUGCA